This is a long non-coding RNA of Leopardus geoffroyi (Geoffroy's cat), 2420 nucleotides long. RefSeq lists it as uncharacterized. The record is from RefSeq and is a predicted model, not a curated record. The transcript has 6 exons. NCBI's taxonomy places the organism in Eukaryota, Metazoa, Chordata, Mammalia, Carnivora, Felidae.
UCUUUGUGGGAACUGCUGUUGUCCGCCAGAAUGGGUCUAAAUAUAGUCAAAGUAGGUGAACUCACUAUGCUUCCUGCAUUUAUCCUUUUAGCUGAAAUUUCCCUGACUUUUCUUUUCCUUUUCAUUUUAUUAGGUUAAUAAAACUUGGUUUUUGAGCAUUUCGCCACCCCAGGAGGGCCGUGGGCCCCCCGUCCAAUUCAUCAAGUGCCUAAUGAGCGGCCCCGGAGGUCCCGGGCCAUCCAUUCCAGAAGCUCUCUCUGCCUUGUAAAGGCUCUCUUGCCUUCGCCAGCUUGUCAGGAUGCUGCCAGCUCUGGGCAUGGGGCUGUGUCUGCCCCGCGUGGUGGAGAGCUGGAAUCUGAGCACUCGAGCUUGGGGACAGCUGCCCACCUUGAGCCCACAAGAGGAAGGAGCACGGGGAGGAGGUUAUGCUUGUGGGGGGUGCAGAACAAGGGAAAACAGAGAAGCCGGCUUGAACCAUCUCUUGCGAUGUGCCCUCUGCAUUAUCACCCACUGGCCCCGAUGCCAGCUGACAGACCUCAUCCAAACACUUGGCUGGGAUUUGGGGACUUCUUUUAACGCCUGCUAGUGAGUUUGCUGGCUUCCUGGAUGCUCAUUUCUGGUUCUGCACAAAACAGCCACAUUUCCUUUUGGAACCGGGACCAGGAGACAGACAGCAGCAGACAUUGGAAAUUGUUGUGAAGAUUUGAGACUGUGAACGCAAAGGCGGGGCCUAUAGAUCGUGCUGGAUAAAGGUCUCUGGGCCAGUCCCUGGAGCCCCGAAAUAAAUGGGCAGAGGGGGCUGCCUGGCAUCGCGUCUUGGCCACCUACCAGCCGGACACCCCAGCACUCUCACGGCCCUGCUGCCAGCCUGAGACGUGGCUGUGCCGGCCUGAGGAAGGACGAAGAACGCGGAGUCCGCUCGCCCGGUCAGCGCCGUGGAGCCCCUGCACACGUAAGUCAGCCUAGCCAGUGUCAGCGGGGACGCCCGGCUGACUGCCCAGGCGCAGGGCCGGUAAAUGCUGCGCUCGCGUGUCGCGAGGCUUCGUUGUGCAGUUUGCCGUGGGGAAAGCUGUUACCCAGUUGCCAGUGUGACGAGCCGCUCGCGUGGUCUAAGGUGGCCCUUGAGAACACGGUCGUGCAGCCAGGCCGACGGAGACUGGGAUUCCGGCUCAGCCAUUUCCGAAUGGCCGUCCUGGGGGAAGUCGGUUUGUUUCUCUGGGCCUCAGUGUUGUCCUCUGUAGAGUGGGGAUGACAGUAGGACCCACCUCAGGGGGCUUGUGGGAAUUGAGGUGAUAUGUGUAAGGCACACAGAGCACAGCAGGUAAUAACUGUCGCCGUUAUUCUGAGCAGGAUUAGUGAUAAUAUUGUUAUAAAAGCCAACAACCACGAUCCAGCCUUCACUCUCCUCUCUGAUCCCUGACACAUGCCCUCGAGGUUUCAGCCAUGCCCACGACUGCCUGCUCCUCAAAGGCUCCAUGCUGCCUCGUGCCUCGGUGCCUUUGUACAUGCUGCUCCUUCCCCUGGGGUGCUGAGACUAGCGAGUCUCUUUUCUUCAAGACCCCACUUAAGUGCAGUGAAAAACUCAGGGUGGUUAUCUGAAUAUUUCCCGUCUUCGUCCUGUCCUGUCCCGGCUGUCAUACGCACGAGCAUAUUCUCCAUUCAACUCUGGGGUCCCCUUGAGUUAGCCAGAUGCCCUCACUCAUUCAUCUAGCCGAGAAGCUACUGUGCACGGGGUGCUUGGACGGCUUUGGUCUCCGGCUGCGAACAGCAUGUCUGUCGGGGCCCAUAGUCCACUGGGAAGGCAGACACGUGCGUGGGCAGCCACAGGCUUUGCAGGCAGGGUUUGAUGGGGCCGGAGGUGCACAGAGUUUCAGGGAAGCUGUCCAGAUGGGCAUCCGAAUGGAGGUGUGAGAGGUCAGCCUGAUGUGGGUGCAGAGGAAUCCGGGCCUCUGGGUGAGGGAUCCUGGGAGGGGCGCGGGGCUCUCCUGUGGGCCCCAGUGGGGAGGGGACUGUGAGGGCAGGUGUGGUCUGAGACCCGGGCAGAUGUCAGGGUGCAGGGGGCUGCUCUAGCUCCCUGCCACUUGUCCCCAACCGGGCAGGCGGCGUGCGGCCACCGUGGUUCGCAGAUGCAGACGCUGAGGUCCCUCCUGGGAGGGGAUCCCUGUCACUCACCACCCAGGGUUGGGGGAAAGCAGCUCUGGGCAUCAUAUUUAUGUCUCGGGAAACCGGGAGGCUGGUUUCACUGCAGAAACAGAUAAGAUAAAACAAACACAACACUUAUUUUAGGGCAUGGAGGGAGCCUGCCAUUCCAUGCCCCCAGGAAGCCAAGAACAUAGCGACUGGAUGGUGUACCUUUCGACCGUCUCAGACGGGCGAGGGGGAGGCGGCUUCCAUGGGGGCCACCUGGCUGCGUCCUGGUG